This 537-nucleotide long non-coding RNA is filed under the name Nicotiana benthamiana. Its description in RNAcentral is "long non-coding RNA (NBEN_LNC003295)". The record is from RNAcentral. Lineage: Eukaryota; Viridiplantae; Streptophyta; Magnoliopsida; Solanales; Solanaceae.
UUAUCAAGUGAGCCAUAAAGAUAGGCGGUAACCACAUCCAUUAAAUGAAUGUCAAGCUUUACAAGGACAGCAAAACUAAUGAGAUAAAGGAAAGUUAUAGCAUCCAUUACGGGUGAAUAUGUCUCUUCAUAAUCGACACCAGGCCUUUGAGAAAAUCCUUGUGCAACAACGCGUGCCUUAUAUCUUUGUACCUUGUUUUUCUCAUUUCUCUUGCGUACAAAGACCCAUCUAUAGCCAACAGGCUUAACACCAUUAGGUGUUUCAACUAUUUGUGCAACAAGGCGUGCCUUAUAUCUUUGUACCUCGUUUUUCUCAUUUCUCUUGCGUACAAAAACCCAUUUAUAGCUAACAGGCUUAACACCAUUAGGUGUUUGAACUAUAGGCCCAAAAACUUCACGUUUUGCUAGUGAAUUUAAUUCUGAUUGGAUUGCUUCUUGUCAGUUUGGCCAAUCAAGUCUUUGUCGACAUUCUCCAACAGAUUGAGGUUCAAGAUCCUCACUUUCUUGCAUAAUGCUAGAUGCAACAUUAUAUGCAAAG